AUUGAACGCUGGCGGCAUGCCUUACACAUGCAAGUCGAACGGUAUCAGGUCUUCGGAUGCUGACGAGUGGCGAACGGGUGAGUAAUACAUCGGAACGUGCCCAGACGUGGGGGAUAACGAGGCGAAAGCUUUGCUAAUACCGCAUACGAUCUAAGGAUGAAAGCAGGGGACCGCAAGGCCUUGCUCGUUUGGAGCGGCCGAUGGCAGAUUAGGUAGUUGGUGGGAUAAAAGCUUACCAAGCCGACGAUCUGUAGCUGGUCUGAGAGGACGACCAGCCACACUGGGACUGAGACACGGCCCAGACUCCUACGGGAGGCAGCAGUGGGGAAUUUUGGACAAUGGGCGAAAGCCUGAUCCAGCAAUGCCGCGUGCAGGAUGAAGGCCUUCGGGUUGUAAACUGCUUUUGUACGGAACGAAAAGGCUCUGGCUAAUACCUGGGGCACAUGACGGUACCGUAAGAAUAAGCACCGGCUAACUACGU
Molecule: ribosomal RNA, 481 nt
Filed under: uncultured bacterium
Lineage: Bacteria
Description: partial 16S ribosomal RNA
Rfam family: Bacterial small subunit ribosomal RNA
Source: RNAcentral